RNAcentral lists this ribosomal RNA (274 nucleotides) under uncultured bacterium. RNAcentral's name for it is "partial 16S ribosomal RNA". It matches the Rfam family "Bacterial small subunit ribosomal RNA", at positions 523 to 796 of the family's 1533-position model. The record is from RNAcentral.
AUACGGAGGGUGCAAGCGUUGUCCGGAUUUAUUGGGUUUAAAGGGUGCGUAGGCGGUCUAUUAAGUCAGUGGUGAAAUACUCCGGCUCAACCGGAGAGGUGCCAUUGAAACUGUUAGACUUGAGUACAGACGAGGUAGGCGGAAUUUAUGGUGUAGCGGUGAAAUGCAUAGAUACCAUAAAGAACACCAAUAGCGAAGGCAGUUUACUAGGCUGUAACUGACGCUGAGGCACGAAAGCGUGGGGAGCGAACAGGAGUAGAUACCCCAGUAGUCC